Molecule: ribosomal RNA, 497 nt
Filed under: uncultured bacterium
Lineage: Bacteria
Description: partial 16S ribosomal RNA
Rfam family: Bacterial small subunit ribosomal RNA
Source: RNAcentral
GAUGAACGCUGGCGGCGUGCCUAAUACAUGCAAGUCGAGCGAACAGACGAGGAGCUUGCUCCUCUGACGUUAGCGGCGGACGGGUGAGUAACACGUGGAUAACCUACCUAUAAGACUGGGAUAACUUCGGGAAACCGGAGCUAAUACCGGAUAAUAUAUUCAACCGCAUGGUUCAAUAGUGAAAGACGGUUUUGCUGUCACUUAUAGAUGGAUCCGCGCCGCAUUAGCUAGUUGGUAAGGUAACGGCUUACCAAGGCGACGAUGCGUAGCCGACCUGAGAGGGUGAUCGGCCACACUGGAACUGAGACACGGUCCAGACUCCUACGGGAGGCAGCAGUAGGGAAUCUUCCGCAAUGGGCGAAGGCCUGACGGAGCAACGCCGCGUGAGUGAUGAAGGUCUUCGGAUCGUAAAACUCUGUUAUUAGGGAAGAACAAAUGUGUAAGUAACUAUGCACGUCUUGACGGUACCUAAUCAGAAAGCCACGGCUAACUACGUG